RNAcentral lists this ribosomal RNA (327 nucleotides) under uncultured eukaryote. Its description in RNAcentral is "partial 18S ribosomal RNA". It matches the Rfam family "Eukaryotic small subunit ribosomal RNA", at positions 1470 to 1796 of the family's 1831-position model. The record is from RNAcentral.
CCCUUAGAUGUUCUGGGCCGCACGCGCGCUACACUGAUUCAUGCAACAAGUUUUGUCCUUGGCUGAUAGGCCUGGGUAAUCUUUGAACGUGAAUCGUGAUGGGGAUAGAUGAUUGCAAUUAUUCAUCUUCAACGAGGAAUUCCUAGUAAACGCAAGUCAUCAGCUUGCAUUGAUUACGUCCCUGCCCUUUGUACACACCGCCCGUCGCACCUACCGAUUGAAUGGUCCGGUGAAAUCUUCGGAUCUGAGAGAUGUCUGAUUAAUUUCGGACGCCUUUUGGAAAAGUUGUUUAAACCUUNCNAUUUAUNGGAAGGUGAANUCGUANCA